AAGCUAACAUCCUUUGUUUCUUUUGGCUAAGUAGGGAUUGGGAGCUAAAAUAGAAUGAGAAAGGUGGCAUCUUUCUUUGCAAGUAUACAACAACAAAGAGUCGUCAAGGCAACCACAGAACUACGCAACGAUAAAGGGCCAGAGGCGAAGUUAAAAAAUGACUAAACUAACUAGACUUAGCCAUCUUACUAGCUUCCCUCUAAAAAAAAUAGAACAGAGAGAAAGAGCGCAGUGGUAGAAAAGUAACAGAAGGGGUGUAAUAUUUGGAGUAUGUACUGACCUUGAUUGUUAGUCCCUAUAGAUAUAGACGAUUGAUUAGUUGUAUGGCUGCUUUUUGUGCAAAGGAAGCUUCUCCAGGUGAACGAGCAUUGAAAGCUAGCAUGUUAGGAUCAACCCGUAAUCCUGGAUUCAUUCCCCAUUCUUAGCUCGUCAUUCUCAUAGGGUUCAAAAUGGUCUUUCUUUAACUGAUUUUUAUGCUUUCUCCAAGCAUUUUGAAUUGAUUGAAAAAUCCACUUUUUUGCAUCUUCAUGAAUGUCAUAUUUUCCCUACAAAUUUAAUGCAUUUAGGUUAGUAUAAACAAUAUGAAAUAUCCACAAACACCUAUUACAUAUGGACAUCUACUACUAGAAGAGUUUCUGCUAUAAAACAGACGAUACUCAUUUCAACUAAAUAUGGACAAACUUGUUUCCAUUAAUUAAUCAUUGGGAUAGGCAACUCUUGAGCUGUAACAGUACUACUUGCACAUUAACUAAUGCAGAGGCGGAUGUAGUGUAUUAACUACCGGUUCAACUGAACCCAUAACUUUUGAUCGCGGAGUAAAACUUUAUAUGUAAAAAUUCAUUAAAGUUAUAAUAAUAAUAGAUAUGAACCAUAACUAUAACUAUAUAAUGGGUUCAAUAUUAAAAACAUUAAAACUAAACCCAUAGGAUUUAAAUCCUGGAUUCGCCUCUUAUCACUACGAAAAAAUUGGUCUACGGUAACGGUUGGACAACCGUUCCCAUAGACACCCUAUGGUCGUUGCCAUAGGUAUAUUGGAACGGUUUAUAACCCGUUACAUCCGCUCGCGUGCCGAUAGGCCUAUUGGAACGGUUCGUGUAACGGUUUGCAUCACCGUGACUAUAGAUACGUAUGUUGCAACGGUUUUCACCUUCUCUGUUGGAACGUUUAUUUUUUUCAAUUGGAACGGUUUAAAACCAUUACUAUAUUGUUUACACAACGGUUCUUAACCGUUACCAUAUUAUUUAAAGCAACACUUAUGUAAGCUAUUGUUACAGUUAUGUAUGGAUAUAACAACGGUUUCUGUAAGGUAUCGCAACUGUUAUAUUUGUAUUUGGAACCGUUUAUAGAUCAAUUUGGAAUAUUUUAUAGGAUCUAUUGCAACGGUUUAGUCAUUUGUGUCCUAUUGCAACGGUUCUGGUAGGCUAUUGUAUCAAUUCAAUUAAAACCAAAAUAUAGCACAUGUUAUAAAUAAAUAUUUAUAUAUAUAACAAAUAAUAAUAAUAACACUUGUUUUAAAAUACAUCAUAAAAUGAAACUAUUAAUAAUAUAAAAUUAUCCUUCAAGCAAAUAAUAUCCCUAAAGCAAAUAUUGUACCCAAGUGCAUAAGUUUAGUACAUUUCAAGAGAGUAAGUAAGUUUCAAAAAUGUUGAUAACAAAAGAUUCCUAGAACAUUCAUCUAUAAUAAUUCAAAAUUUUAUAAGUAAGGUCUAGUUCUUUUUCAUCAUCCAUUUCUUGAUCUACUCCAAAGGGGAUAAGAAAAGGAGUUUGGGAAAGGUGAGAGGUAUAUUUUUUCUCCAAGUGAAGUAAUUCCUAUGUGCUGGAGACUAUUUAAGUACAAAAACACAUUUAUACUCUGACUUUUAAUUUUAAUUCUUUAGUUCUAGAAGUAGAAUUCUCCCUAAUAAAUUGGGAAGAAACUGCAUUAUGAACCCGCACGUUCUACAAUUUGAAGGAAACAAGAGUGAAGGCAUCAUGACAUUUGCAUUAGAUUUUGUUUUACUUUGAAAGAUCAUAUUCUUUAAAAAAAUUCAAAACACUUGGACUGAUCAUUGUGAUAUUUCUUCAAGAUAACAUCCUUUGUUUCUUUUGGCUAAGUAGGGAUUGGGAGCUAAAAUAGAAUGAGAAAGGUGGCAUCUUUCUUUGCAAGUAUACAACAACAAAGAGCCAUCAAGGCAACCACAGAACUACGCAACGAUAAAGGGCCAGAGGCGAAGUUAAAAAAUGACUAAACUAACUAGACUUAGCCAUCUUACUAGCUUCCCUUUAAAAAAAAAAUAGAACAGAGAGAGAGAGAGAGCGCAGUGGUAGAAAAGUAACAGAAGGGAUGUACCAUUUGGAGUAUGUACUGACCUUGAUUGUUAGUCCCUAUAGAUAUAGACGAUUGAUUAGUUGUAUAGCUGCUUUUUGUGCAAAGGAAGCUUCUCCAGGUGAACGAGCAUUGAAAGCUAGCAUGUUAGGAUCAACCCGUAAUCCUGGAUUCAUUCCCCAUUCUAAGCUCGUCAUUCUCAUAGGGUUCAAAAUGGUCUUUCUUUAACUGAUUUUUAUGCUUUCUCCAAGCAUUUUGAAUUGAUUGAAAAAUUCACUUUUUUGCAUCUUCAUGAAUGUCAUAUUUUCC
This 2614-nucleotide long non-coding RNA is filed under the name Nicotiana tabacum (common tobacco). RNAcentral's name for it is "long non-coding RNA (NTAB_LNC013931)". Lineage: Eukaryota; Viridiplantae; Streptophyta; Magnoliopsida; Solanales; Solanaceae. The record is from RNAcentral.